Non-coding RNA from Gorilla gorilla gorilla (western lowland gorilla), 148 nucleotides. It matches the Rfam family "Metazoan signal recognition particle RNA". From Rfam's summary of the family: The signal recognition particle (SRP) is a universally conserved ribonucleoprotein. It is involved in the co-translational targeting of proteins to membranes. The eukaryotic SRP consists of a 300-nucleotide 7S RNA and six proteins: SRPs 72, 68, 54, 19, 14, and 9. The record is from Rfam. Lineage: Eukaryota; Metazoa; Chordata; Mammalia; Primates; Hominidae.
GCCGGGCAUGGUGGUGCGUGCCUGUAGUCCCAGCUACCCGGGAGGCUGAGGCAGGAGAAUCGCUUGAACUCAGGAAGCCAAGAUUGCAGUGAGCUGAGACCGCACCACGGCACUCCAGCCUGGGCGACAGAGUGAGACUCUGUCUCUA